CCAUUUCAAAUCCCCUCCUGAUGCCCCAGGGGCUUUUACAGCAUCUUUUCCAUUAAUUUGAUUUCCAAUUUUAUAGUGCACUGAGUCAUGAUAAGAGGUACGGAGGAGUCGAAUGGAAUGAACUUUGCAUUCUGUUGUUGAUUCCUCACAUACAGUGGGGGGAACUAAACACAAGGUGCAGACUUCCUGCUAAAAGUCUCAGAAUAGCUGUUGACUGAGUUGGAACCAAUUACAA
RNAcentral lists this unclassified non-coding RNA (235 nucleotides) under Hevea brasiliensis (rubber tree). Lineage: Eukaryota; Viridiplantae; Streptophyta; Magnoliopsida; Malpighiales; Euphorbiaceae. The record is from RNAcentral.